RNAcentral lists this ribosomal RNA (1226 nucleotides) under Meloidogyne arenaria. RNAcentral's name for it is "SSU rRNA". It matches the Rfam family "Eukaryotic small subunit ribosomal RNA", at positions 559 to 1823 of the family's 1831-position model. Lineage: Eukaryota; Metazoa; Nematoda; Chromadorea; Rhabditida; Meloidogynidae. The record is from RNAcentral.
GUCUGGUGCCAGCAGCCGCGGGUAAUUCCAGCUCUGCAAAUACAUAGAAUUAUUGCUGCGGUUAGAAAGCUCAUAGUUGGAUUCGUAUCGAUACCUUGGAACCCUUCGGGUGUCUCUAUUGUUAUCGAUUUAUCGUAAUGUUCGGUUUUGAGUCCUUAACAGGAUUCUUAACAGGCAUGCAAGUUUACUUUGAACAAAUCAGAGUGCUUCAAACAGGCGUUUUCGCUUGAAUGAUCGUGCAUGGAAUAAUAGAAAAUGAUUUCGGUUCAGUUUUAUUGGUUUACGGACUGAGAUAAUGGUUAACAGAGACAAACGGGGCAUUUGUAUGGUCCCGUGAGAGGUGAAAUUCUUGGACCAUGGCCAGACAAACUACAGCGAAAGCAUUUGCCAAGAAUGUUUUUAUUAAUCAAGAACGAAAGUCAGAGGUUCGAAGGCGAUCAGAUACCGCCCUAGUUCUGACCGUAAACGAUGCCAACUAGCGAUCCGCCGAUGGAAAUUAUAUUGCCUUGGUGGGGAGCUUCCCGGAAACGAAAGUCUUCCGGUUCCGGGGGAAGUAUGGUUGCAAAGCUGAAACUUAAAGGAAUUGACGGAAGGGCACCACCAGGAGUGGAGCCUGCGGCUUAAUUUGACUCAACACGGGGAAACUCACCCGGCCCGGACACUGUGAGGAUUGACAGAUUGAUAGCUUUUUCAUGAUUCAGUGGAUGGUGGUGCAUGGCCGUUCUUAGUUCGUGGAGUGAUUUGUCUGGUUUAUUCCGAUAACGAGCGAGACUCUAACCUACUAAAUAGUUGGUACAUACUCUUAGUGUAUACAGCUUCUUAGAGGGAUUUGCGGCGUUCAGCCGAAAGAAAUUGAGCAAUAACAGGUCUGUGAUGCCCUUAGAUGUCCGGGGCUGCACGCGCGCUACACUGGCAAAAUCAACGUGCUUGUCCUACCCUGAAAGGGGCGGGUAAACCAUUGAAAAUUUGCCGUGAUUGGGAUCGGAAAUUGCAAUUAUUUUCCGUGAACGAGGAAUUCCAAGUAAGUGCGAGUCAUCAGCUCGCGUUGAUUACGUCCCUGCCCUUUGUACACACCGCCCGUCGCUGCCCGGGACUGAGCCAUUUCGAGAAAUUUGGGGACCGUUGAUUUAAUUUUUCUAAAUUACUUUGAUGGAAACCAAUUUAAUCGCAGUGGCUUGAACCGGGCAAAAGUCGUAACAAGGUAGCUGUAGGUGAACCUGCUGCUG